This 1467-nucleotide ribosomal RNA is filed under the name Campylobacter jejuni. Its description in RNAcentral is "partial 23S ribosomal RNA". It matches the Rfam family "Bacterial large subunit ribosomal RNA", at positions 1480 to 2925 of the family's 2925-position model. Lineage: Bacteria; Pseudomonadati; Campylobacterota; Epsilonproteobacteria; Campylobacterales; Campylobacteraceae. The record is from RNAcentral.
GGCUAAGGGGGCUAGCGGAUGGAAGUGCUAGUCUAAGGUCGUAGGAGGUUAUACAGGCAAAUCCGUAUAACAAUACUCCGAGAACUGAAAGGCUUUUUGAAGUCUUCGGAUGGAUAGAAGAACCCCUGAUGCCGUCGAGCCAAGAAAAGUUUCUAAGUUUAGCUAAUGUUGCCCGUACCGUAAACCGACACAGGUGGGUGGGAUGAGUAUUCUAAGGCGCGUGGAAGAACUCUCUUUAAGGAACUCUGCAAAAUAGCACCGUAUCUUCGGUAUAAGGUGUGGUUAGCUUCGUACUAGGAUUUACUCCGAAAGCGAAGAAACUUACAACAAAGAGUCCCUCCCGACUGUUUACCAAAAACACAGCACUCUGCUAACUCGUAAGAGGAUGUAUAGGGUGUGACGCCUGCCCGGUGCUCGAAGGUUAAUUGAUGGGGUUAGCAUUAGCGAAGCUCUUGAUCGAAGCCCGAGUAAACGGCGGCCGUAACUAUAACGGUCCUAAGGUAGCGAAAUUCCUUGUCGGUUAAAUACCGACCUGCAUGAAUGGCGUAACGAGAUGGGAGCUGUCUCAAAGAGGGAUCCAGUGAAAUUGUAGUGGAGGUGAAAAUUCCUCCUACCCGCGGCAAGACGGAAAGACCCCGUGGACCUUUACUACAGCUUGACACUGCUACUUGGAUAAGAAUGUGCAGGAUAGGUGGGAGGCUUUGAGUAUAUGACGCCAGUUGUAUAUGAGCCAUUGUUGAGAUACCACUCUUUCUUAUUUGGGUAGCUAACCAGCUUGAGUUAUCCUCAAGUGGGACAAUGUCUGGUGGGUAGUUUGACUGGGGCGGUCGCCUCCCAAAUAAUAACGGAGGCUUACAAAGGUUGGCUCAGAACGGUUGGAAAUCGUUCAUAGAGUAUAAAGGUAUAAGCCAGCUUAACUGCAAGACAUACAAGUCAAGCAGAGACGAAAGUCGGUCUUAGUGAUCCGGUGGUUCUGUGUGGAAGGGCCAUCGCUCAAAGGAUAAAAGGUACCCCGGGGAUAACAGGCUGAUCUCCCCCAAGAGCUCACAUCGACGGGGAGGUUUGGCACCUCGAUGUCGGCUCAUCGCAUCCUGGGGCUGGAGCAGGUCCCAAGGGUAUGGCUGUUCGCCAUUUAAAGCGGUACGCGAGCUGGGUUCAGAACGUCGUGAGACAGUUCGGUCCCUAUCUGCCGUGGGCGUAAGAAGAUUGAAGAGAUUUGACCCUAGUACGAGAGGACCGGGUUGAACAAACCACUGGUGUAGCUGUUGUUCUGCCAAGAGCAUCGCAGCGUAGCUAAGUUUGGAAAGGAUAAACGCUGAAAGCAUCUAAGCGUGAAGCCAACUCUAAGAUGAAUCUUCUCUAAGCUCUCUAGAAGACUACUAGUUUGAUAGGCUGGGUGUGUAAUGGAUGAAAGUCCUUUAGCUGACCAGUACUAAUAGAGCGUUUGGCUUAUCUUUAAUAAAGCAU